GACGAACGCUGGCGGCAGGCUUAACACAUGCAAGUCGCACGAGAACGCUCUGGCUUUGCCAGGACAAGUACAGUGGCGGACGGGUGCGUAUCGCGUAGAUAACCUGCCCGGAGGCGCGGGAUAAUCACGGGAAACCGUGGCUAAUACCGCACGUCGUCUGGACCCCGCAUGGGGACCAGAUGAAAGCUUGGGGUUACCCAGGCGCCUUUGGAUGGGUCUGCGUUGGAUUAGCUUGUUGGUGAGGCAACGGCUCACCAAGGCGACGAUCCAUAGCUGGUCUGAGAGGACGAUCAGCCACACUGGGACUGAGACACGGCCCAGACUCCUACGGGAGGCAGCAGUGGGGAAUCUUGCACAAUGGGGUCACCCCUGAUGCAGCCAUGCCGCGUGGAGGAAGACACCCCUAUGGGGCGUAAACUCCUUUUCUGAACGAAGAAACCCCUGUAGGUUCAGGGCGCGACGGUAGUUCAGGAAUAAGCACCGGCUAACUCCGUGCCAGCAGCCGCGGUAAUACGGAGGGUGCAAGCGUUGUCCGGAAUCACUGGGUGUAAAGGGUGUGCAGGCGGGGCAGCAAGUCGGAUGUGAAACCCCAUGGCUUAACCAUGGAGGUGCAUUCGAAACUGUUGCUCUUGAGUCCCGGAGAGGCUGUCGGAAUUCGUGGUGUAGCGGUGAAAUGCGUAGAUAUCACGAGGAACACCAGAGGCGAAAGCGGGCAGCUGGACGGGUACUGACGCUCANGCACGAAAGCGUGGGGAGCAAACAGGAUUAGAUACCCUGGUAGUCCACGCCGUAAACGAUGAACGCUCGCCGUUGCCCCGCUCAAGGGGCAGUGGCUAGGUUAACGCGUUAAGCGGUUCACCUGGGUUCGUACGAUCGCAUGGUAGAAAAUGAAAGGAAUUGACGGGAGUCGGCACAAGCGGUCGCGCAUGUGGGUGAAUUUGAUGCAAUGCGAAGAACCUUGCAUAGCCUUGCAUGGUAGAGGACGGUUCAGGAAAGGUAGCUUACCGUAGGUUGCCUUUAGGGACGUAUUGCAUGGUAGUGCUCAGCUGUUGUCAUGUGAUGUUGGGUUAAGUCCGGCAAAGUGCGUAACCCAGGGUGAUACUUACCGUUGGGUAGCGCCGGGGAGUGUAGGGGAAUCGCGUGAGCAAGCAGGGACGAAGGUGGGGAAGGGGUGAAGUGAUCAUGGUCCUUAAUCGUCGGGAUGCACAGGUGUUCCAAUGGCCGGUACAAGGGGUAGCCACGUGUAGCGACGGAGCGAGUCCGAGAAAACCCGUGCCAGCUGGUAUCGGAUUGGACAAGUGUACUCCACUAAGCUGGAAUAGGCAGUAAUCGCGGAUCAUCAAUGAUGAGGAGAAUCGGUUCCAGUCCGUUGUACACACCGCCACUCAAGCCAUGGAAGGCGCAGAGCACCUGAAGUCACCGAAUGUACCUCGACCCAACGCCGGAGAGAGAGCGGCCGAAGGUGAGCUCAGUGACUGGGGCU
This 1483-nucleotide ribosomal RNA is filed under the name uncultured bacterium. RNAcentral describes it as "bacterial SSU rRNA". It matches the Rfam family "Bacterial small subunit ribosomal RNA". The record is from RNAcentral.